AUUCAUAGCCAUUAUGGAGGGAAAUUUUGUAAACAAGCAUGUUUUUAAAAUGGUUUGACUGUACGCAGCAUCAAUUCGAAAGCUUAUAAAAUGUAUGCACAGUACUAAAAAAGAUCAACGUUAUCACAAAUUGAAUAUUUCACUCAGAAAGGAAAAAAGGGGGAUGGAGAUAUGUCUUUUCUAUAUCUGCUGCAUCAGCAUCCUAAACUAAAGACUUAACGCCGUAACGGCCAAAGUCCGUAUAAUUUACAAAAUGUAUGCUGUAUAAGUGAUUUUUUAAAACUAAAUAACUAAUAGAAAAAUGUUCAAUAACCUAUUUACACAAGACGUCAUGACGGCACCCCAUACAAAUUAUUGACAGUUUGUAUACAGAUUCAUCAUCAUACAUGUACAUCAUUCAUUUACAUGUAAAUGUAUCAUUGUGUAAUGAAAUGGUCUCGUAUAUCAUAAUUUUCGUAGCAUCCAUAUUUCAUGGAUUUUGAUUGCACAAGCCUAUAUACAUGAUAUACCUAACGCUUUAUUAUUCCAGAUGUAAAAUUACACAACUUUUUCAGGAAGUUGUAUAAAUGACUUUUUUCCCCGGAAUGGACUAAAUAGCGAUAAGGUGUAUUGUGACAGGGUUUUCGGUUUCUAUAUUCGAAAACAACAACAACACUUCAACUUGACAUAUUUAAAACAGGUACAUGUAACAGACCCGGAUUCUUUAAAACACUUUCAAAGUCGCAUUGAAAGACAAAUGUGAUAAAACUGAACUGUUAAGCCAUUUUUAUUUAAUGUAAAAAAAUAUGCAUCACUAGAAUUGCUUCCAAUCACAUCGGACACAAGCAAUAAGUAGUGGAUGGAGAGAGCUCAUCACACAUUGAUGUAGAAUCUGGGGUACCCCAAGGCUCAGCCCUUGGGCCUUCGCUAUUUCUGUUUUACAUCAACAACAUUCCUAAUGGAAUUAAAUCUACUAUCACUCUAUUUGCUGAUGACACCAUAGCCUACCUUACAAUAUCAAACAACAAAGAUUCCAACAAUCUACUAAAAGAUCUAGAUAAAUUGGCAUAAAAUAAAACAUGGGAAACCAAAUCAGACUACACGAAUGAAUUUUAUUUUUACAGGACAUUCGGUCUGGUAAGCAUCCUAGCUUCCAGACCGAAUGAAAUUUACCAAGACAAUUUUUUUUACAUCUAAUUGUAUAUUAUCCGACAAAAACAACAAACAUAUGACUUGUUGUGCCUACUCCUCCCCAAAAUGCACAAAAACAAAAUGAUGUAACAAAGAGGUAAUUGUUCUGAAAGUCUGCACAUUUGCUUGAUUCAUUUCAGUGAAAGUAAUGUCCCAUUUUAUUGGAUUUUGACAAUGUUUGUGAACUAAACAUAAUUUAGAGUUUCUGUAUAAAAUAUUAUUUCCUGUUUCUUCUUUCUUUUUAUUCGACCGCAAAAAUUUUAAUUUUUUGUCGUAUAUUGCUAUCUCGUUGGCGUCGUCUCUUGCGUCGUCCGUCGUCCGAAUACUUUUAGUUUUCGCACUCCUAACUUUAGUAAAAGUGAAUAGAAAUCUAUGAAAUUUUAACACAAGGUUUAUAACCACAAAAGGAAGGUUGGGAUUGAUUUGGGAGUUUUGGUCCCAAAAUUUUAGGAAUUAGGGGCCAAAAAGGCCCAAUAAGCAUUUUUCUUGGUUUUUGCACUAUAACUUUAGUUUAAGUAAAUAGAAAUCUCUAUGAAAUUUUGACACAAGGUUUAUGACCACAAAAGGAAGGUUGGGAUUGAUUUUGGGAGUUUUAGUUCAAACAGUUUAAGGAAUUAGGGGCCAAAAAAAGGGCCCAAAUAAGCAUUAUUCUUGGUUUUCGCACAAUAACUUUAGUAUAAGUAAAUAGAAAUCAAUGAAAUUUAAACACAAGGUUUAUGACCACAAAAGGAAGGUUGGGAUUGAUUUUGGGAGUGAGGUCUGAACAGUUUAGGAAUUAGGGGCCAAAAAGGGGCCCAAGUAAAGCAUUAUUCUUGGUUUUCGCACCAUAACUUUAGUAUAAGUAAAUAGAAAUCUUUGAAAUUUAAACCACAAGGUUUAUGACCAAUAAAAGGGAAGGUUUGAUUUGGAGUUUUGGGAACAGGUUUUGAAUAAGGGCCCAAGAGGUCCAAAAUUGAAACUUUGUUUGAUUUCAUCAAAAAUUGAAUAAUUGGUUCUUUGAUAUGCCAAUCUAACUGUGUAUGACUUAGAUUUUUGAUUUGCCAGUUUUCAAGUUGGUCCAAAUCGGGGUCCAAAAUUAAACUUUGUUUGAUUUUCAAAUAAUAAUAUACAAAAAUUGAAAUAAGUAAAUAAUUGGGGUUCUUUGAUAUGCAAACUAACUGUGUAUGUAGAUUCUUAAUUUUUGUCCGUUUUCAAAUUGGUCUACAUUAAAUACCAAAGGUCCAAAAUUAAACUAAGUUUGAUUUUAAUAAAAAUUGAAUUCUUUGGCUUUUUUGAUAUGCUGAAUUAAUCAUGUACUUAGAUUUUUGAUUAUGGGCCCAGUUUUCAAGUUGUGUUCAAAUCAGGAUCCAAAAUUAUUAUAUUAAGUAUUGUGCAAUAGCAAGAAAUUUUCAAUUGCACAGUAUUCAGCAAUAGCAAGAAUCUUCAAUUGCCACAGUAUUGUGCAAUAGCAAAAAAUGUUCAAUUGCACAGUAUUGUGCAAUAGCAAGAAAUCUUCAAUUGCACAGUAUUGUGCAAUAGCAAAUAUUUUCAAUUGCACAGUAUUGCGCAAUAGCAAGAAAUAUCUAAUUGCACAAUAUUGUGCAAUAGCAAGAAAUUUUCAAUUUGAUUGGAGUUAUCUUUCUUUGUCCAGAAAGUAGUUGAAUCAACUUAAAAAUCAUUGUUUUAUACAAUACACAAUGUAUAUUCACUUUUACUACCAACUGAUAAAUUAAAACAAUCUUUACCAUUCAGUGAUAACAAGCAACUUUUUGUUACAUUUUAAUAUUUUAUGAUGUAUUUAAAUGAGUAGCUAUUGUUGCAAACUCAUUAGAAAUUUGAAUUGAUAUCAGUUUGAAAAAAGGGAAAGGGGAUGUGAAAAAAAAUGGUGGAGGGGGGGGGGGUGGUUUAAUUUUUCUCAUUUCAGAUUUCAUAAAUAAAAAGAAAAUUUCUUCAAACAUUUUUUUGAGAGGAUUAAUAUUCAACAGCAUAGUGAUUGCUCAAAGACAAAAAAAUUAUUUUAAGUUCAUUAGACCACAUUCAUUCUGUGUCCAAAACCUAUGCUGUGUCAACUAUUUAAUCACAAUCCAAAUUUAGAGCUGAAUCCAGCUUGAAUGUUGUGUCCAUACUUGCCCCAACCGUUCAGGGUUCAACCUAUGCGGUCGUAUAAAGCUGCGCCCUGCGGAGCAUCUGGUUCAUAUAUCUUUUGGUUUUUUAUAUUUCAUAGCUGAAUUUUGUGAUCUGCUUGGAUUUUUAUUCAUUUAUUGUAUUUAAUCGGCAAACCCGGAAUUAUCCUUAUCUGUUCCCAGAAUCUGAUCCGGUUUUAUUUACAUUUCCGGUUGUGUGGCCAAAUGUGUAUGGCAUGCCAUUGUUGUUUUUGACAGUCAGAUAUGUUUUUACCUGGAUUUACACAUUACUGGUUGGCGAUUUUCGGCAUAAAGCUAGCGGUUACAUGGAAAAUUGUAAUGCAUUACACUUAAUUACCAUUACAUUUUCAAUUACCCCAUCCCUGCAAACCAGCGAGUUAAAAUUAAUAGGGUUCUUAUAUAAAAUGGUUGUUCAAACUCCAUUCAUUCAAUAUUUUAUUGACAAUUCUUUAUAAUCAUCAUUAAUAAAUAAAGAUGGAAACUGUCUUAGCUACAUGUAUUUACAUUUAAUCAUAAAUUUUGAAAAUUGCAUUGUAAAUUCCAAAAAAUAAUGUCUUUUGUAAACACCAAGUGCCAAUCUGAAAAAGAUCACAAUGUUACAAUUUCAGCACAUGAAACAUCAACCAAAAACUAUUUACAAGUUAAUUUUGGUUCUGAAAAGAAUUAAAUAACUUUUUUAUGAUUCAAGCAAUUACCAGAACCAUGACUUUAGAAAAUACCCAUUUCCGGAUUUUGUAUUCAUUUCCUGUUCGUAUAUAUACUGAUCCAGUUUUUGGGAUAUGAUUGCUUUCAAGCAAUCUGUAGACUUAUACCAGUGGCUCAGGACAAUGCCCUCACGUCAACCGUUUUAUUCUAAACAUUAAGGACCAUCUCAGAUUCUUAUGAUUGUCUUGGUUUAAAAGGUAAAACAGACAAAGGGAUUGAACUUAAACAACUUUCCUAUAAUGUUCUUUUCAUAAUCUUCAUGUUUGAUAUUUCCCUUGACUUAUAUGCGUGUUUUUAACAACACGGAAAAUGAGAAUCAAGCAGUAUUUAUAUUUAGUGUUUUUAUAAAUUUAGAAACACGUCAGAGGGGAUUCCCCAGUUGUGAUAAAAAUGCGAGAGUUCUCUGAAUUUUGAUAAUCUAUUUCUGUCAAAUAAGAACUGAAGUGGAGUUAAACUUAUGUCACCAUUAUUAACACUGAUAUUUGAUAUUGUACUUCCAUAAAAAAUAGAGAACCAUUUAGGUUUAAUAUACGUUUUUACUACAGGGUUUGUUUAUGUAAUAAUGCGCAUGCGUAUACUUUUCUUGACUUCAAGGGGUACUAGGUUAAAUGGUUGCUCUGGAUUCCCACUCAAUUGAUUAAUUUAUAACUCGUGCGAUCCUUUCUAUGUAUGUCUGCUUUUGAGGGUUAUUGUUGUUGCAUAAUUUUAAAUCAUAUGCAUCAUUUGAAUUAAAAUAAAUGUAGCCCACAUCGUAUAGGUUUACCAACACCCCUUCAGGCGAAAUGGAGUCUUCCAUAUUAUCGUUUCGAGUUGUCUCCCUUCGUGAAGUCACUUCCGUGAACUCUGAAUCAAAACAACAACACGUUGAGAAAAAUUAACUCGUUCUGUCGAUAAACGUUGUAUUAUAUUAAAAACGAUCGGAAUUUAAACCGAGGAAUGUGUACAGAAAGGAGUCAUGAUCACUGACCCAAAGGAAAUUAAAUAUUUAAAGAGUUAGGAAUGGGGUUCCUCCAGGAGAUUAACGUAGGAAAAUAGGUGAUUAGAUACGAAGUGAAUUACUUCUCUCACUCCGAGUCUCAGUGACUGCUGUGGAAAGUAAACUUGGAAUUGAUAGUACAAAAUUAAAACACAAUAGGCUAAGUACUUGUUAAUACACUUUUAACCGCGAUUGGCUAUAUUUGUAACUAUUCAAUAUUACGUAAAUUACAUUUUACAUGUGCAGUUGAAUUAGUUUUGAAAACAAUACUAACUACUUACAGUCUACAUGUAUACACGUGUCAAUAAAAAGAAUGGCAAUAGAAUCCCUCAGAUCAAUCUACUCUUUGAUUACUUCAUACGAAAACAUAUGACGCCAUAUUUUGACAUAAAAUAGCAAAAUAAUCGGAAACACUAAAAAAUCUAAAUACCUAAAAACAUUCGACAGAACAUGCUUUUAAAAUUUGAGUACACGCGUAAAUAAAACUCAACAGUGAAUACCAUAAGCAGCGAAAAUUGUUAUUAGUACAAAAACACAUCACACGAGGAUACUGUCAGUACUGACUAUAGUCCAAAUAAUUAUGCCUCGUGAAAGGCUAUUUAUUUUUUUCUUUAACGCCUUACAUCAUGGCAGGAAGGUGUCAAAGCAAAAAUUUAAAAUAGCCUUCCAAGACUUCAUAUUUAUUUGGACUAAAAAGUUAGAUACUUUUGCUUGGUCCAUACAACUUUGACUUCACUAAUUUCAACUGAAGCACUGGCUACUAAGCUGGUGAUACCCUCUGUGACUAACAGACCAUUAGCAGUAGUAUCAACCAUGUACUAUAGUAAAUAAAAUAAUUAAUUAUCAGCAAUAACCUGUCCAUUGUAAACGAGUUAUUUUUACACCACACUUAAGGGCAUUCUGUUUUUCGUUCUGUGCAUCUGUUAGUUCAUUUGUCCAUCUGUCCUGCUUCAGGUUUAAGUUUUUGCCAAUUUUGGUCAAGUUAGUUUUUGAAGAAGUUGAAGUCCAAUCUACAAUGAAACUUAAGUACACUUGUUUCCUAUGUCAUGAUCUUUCUAAUUUUAAUGCCAAAUUAGAGUUUUAACAAAAAUUUCAAGGUUCACUGCUGAACAUGGAAAAUGAUAAUGCUGGCUUCAGGUUUAACUUUUUGUGGUCAAGGUUGUCAAAGUCCAAUCAACCUGAGACUUAGUGCACAUAUGUUCCCUAUGAUAUGAUCUUUCUAAUCUAUUGAUAUAUGAUUAAUGUCAAAAUUACAAAGAAGCUACUACUGGUAAUGUAAGUUUUUUAUGAUUAAGAUAGGAAAAUAGCAUAAUUUGUUUAUAUUUUUAAUAUUUUUUAGUGAUUGAUUAUGUGACAGAAUUCAGAUUACGAAAAGAUUGUGAACAUCAGACUCUGAUAAAUUUUACUGACCUAGAGGUAUGUCAUUUAGUAAAAAUGGUAGAUAUAUCUUAUAAAUAUCACUUCUUUUUUUUUUUUUUUUGAACACUUCUAGUUGUACACAAUAGAUAUAAGAAGAUGUGCUAUGAGAGCCAAUGAGACAACUCUCCAUCCGUGUUUCAAUUUAUAAAGGAAACAUUAUACAUCAAAGUACAGUCUUCAACACGGAGCCUUGGCUCACCCGGAACAGCAAACUAUGAAAGUCCAAAAAAAAUACUUGUGUAAAACCAUUCAAACGGGAAAACCAACAGUUUAAUUUAUAUAAAAAAAAAGAAAUGAGAAACACUUAUGAACCACAUCAACAAACCAAAACUACUGAACAUCAGAUUCCUGACUUAGGACAGGUGCAAACAAUUUCAGUUAACAAUGUAUGUUUAAUAAUAAAAAAAGACAAGACUCUAUGAAGCAAGAUUUGUGUAAGCUAUUUCCAGUAAUUUUGGAAAAAAUCAACAAAAUUUAGUAUGCAAUUACUGAUAGGUCACACAGGUCAAACUUAUCAUGUUGGUUCAUUGAAUUGGGAUGACUUUUUGACAUGUACAUGUAUGCCACAUUACCACACAUCUCUUUUUCUUUAUUUAUAUAUUAAAUUAAACUUUACUCAUCGAGUAAAGUGCUCAAUAUAAGUUCCUUGAUUCCUCUUCUUUUAUCAUAAACUUUUGAUAUGUAUUAUGGCUUGUUUUGAGCCUGAAACAUUUUUGCAUAUACAAAAAUGUACUGGUAUGUGUUUAAAUUUUCAGGGUAUGCAGUGAGUUUCAGUUUAUUUAAUGAAGGAUACCCCAUAAAACCGUUUGUGAAGUGGUUUCUCAAGUUAAAUUACCUUUAAAUUCAAACAAUAUUAUAAGUUCUUGGAAAAUUGGGAAAAAAUCAUAAAUUUAGGGCAGUAUUUCAAACAUUCAUCAUAUAAGCAGUCAUGUGAGAAUUUAGUUAAGAUUGACAGGCAGUAGAUCUUAACAUUCUGUACAUCUCUGUUCUGACCGAUUUCUGUAUCUAUAAUUGUUUCCAAAAUAAGAAUUAAUAUUUCCAUUUUACACCUUUUUUUUUCUUCUAGUUUUAGCCUGGGUGGCCAUGUUUGUAUAUAACAUAGUAAUAUGUAUAUCAAAAUUACAAAAUUUCCCCCAAAAACCCAAUUAACUCUGCAUGGAUAUGAUAUUAUAUGUAUCAGCUUAUUUUGUGUGUAUUUUUGUUGAGACGCUAUGUAAUUAUCAAUGAUUAUCCAUCAAAAUGUCUACUGAAAACUGCCAACAGCCAUAUACCUAAUAUUAACAAAUAUAUUUGAUAGCAACCAUUUAAUUUUUGUCAUAUGACCAUACUUUGACUCUGGGAUUUAUAAUUUUUUAAACAGGUUACCUAUAUCAUGUGCAUAUACUCUGUAGUAGAACAUCCUGGUACUCAGUCAAUUCAAGUAAGAGUGAGGUAAAGAAGUAAAAUAAAGUUUUCAAUCAUUUAAUUUGUGGGAAAAUUUACUGUUUAAUGUUUUCUAUACAUGUACAUGACAAAUUCAUUGGAAAAAAGUAAACUUGCCCACCAAAAUUGCACUGAUUAUAUAUUAGAUUCAACUUUUUUUGAUGACUCUUGCAUGACUGAAUACCUGAAAAAAAAGUAUGUUUAUCAUCCUUUUCACCUGUAUAAGAAGAUUUUUUUUGGGAGGAUCACAUGAAAACAGAUUCAAUGAAGGCAGUGAAUUAUUCAUCAGCAAUUUUCUUAGCUUUUUUUGACAAAAUUGAACCAUGCUAUCUGCUAAAAGCUAAUAUUUAUUUCCAUUAUUUCACUUUCGUUAUAUAUAUUGAUUUAGGGCUAUUCCAGAAAAAAAUGUAUGGGGGGUUGGAAGGCAGUUUUUGUCAGCACCCGCCACCCAGACAAUUGUAAUUGAGAAUUAUAGUGCAUUAUUGUCGAGCCUGCAACUUUUGCUGCAGAAAGCUCGACAUAGGGAUAGUGAUCCAGCGGGGCCGGCGGUGUUAGCUAAAUUCUUAAAGGCUUUAUAUUUUAGAAGGUGGAAGACCUGGAUGCUUCAUGUUACGAAGUUUCCGUCAGUCACAUGUCCAAUGUCCUUGACCUCAUUUUCAUGGUUCAGUGACCACUUUUGAAAAAAAAGUUCAAAUUUUUUGUAAUGUUGAAUUCUCUCUUAUUAUAAGUAAUAGGAUAACUAUAUUUGAUAUGUGCGUACCUUGCAAGGUCCUCAUGUCUGUCAGACAGUUUUCACUUGACCUUGACCUCAUUUCAUGGAUCAGUGAACAAGGUUAAGUUUUGGUGGUCAAGUCCAUAUCUCAGAUACUAUAAGCAAUAGGUCUAGUAAAUGCGGUGUAUGGAAGGACUGUAAGGUGUACAUGUCCAACUGGCAGGUGUCAUCUGACCUUGACCUCAUUUUCAUGGUUCAGUGGUUAUAGUUAAAUUUUUGUGUUUUGGUCUGUUUUUCUCAUACUAUAUGCAAUAGGUCUACUAUAUUAGUUGUAUGGAAUGAUUGUAAGGAGUACAUGUCUAGUGGGCAGAUGUCAUGUGACCUUGACCUCAUUUUCAUGGUUCAGUCAUUUUUGUCAGUGGUCAAAGUUAAGUUUUUGAGUUUUGGUCUUUUUAUCUAUUACUAUAUGCCAUAGGUCAACUGUAUUUUGUGUAUGGAAAUAUUUUAUGAUCUUUAUGUCAGUCGCACAGGUUUAAUUUGACUGUGACCUUAUUUUCAUGGUUCAUUGCACAGUGUUAAGUUUUUGUGUUUUGGUCUAUUUUUCUUAAACUAUAAGUAAUGGGUCAACUAUAUAUGUUGUAUAGAAGCAUUGUUAGCUGUACAUGUCUGCCUGGCAUGUUUCAUCUGACCUUGACCUCAUUUUCAAGGUUCAUUGAUCUUUGUUUAGUUAUCUUGGUUAAUGUUAAGUUUAUGUGACAGUUAAGUUGUAAUAAAGCUUAGCUUUAUACUUAGGACUAUCAACAUUAUAUCAAUGAUUAGUAUAGAAGGCGAGACAUUUCAGCGUGUGCUCUCUUGUAGUGUGAAAAGUUGCUCUGAUACCCAUCAACCAUGUAUUAUUAAUAUAAUGUGCCUUCCAACCCCCCAUACAUUUUUUUUCUGGAAUAGCCCUUAGCAAAAACAAAUAUAUAUAUAUUUUGUAUAAAUCAUCUCUUAGUUAUUGCCCCUCUAAAAAUAAUAGUUUAAAUUGCAGGUUGCUAUAGAAAUAUAAAAGAAUGGAUCUGACACACCUUCUUCCCACUACAACAUUUUUUAAUCCAACUAAAACUACCUCAUCUAUGGUGAACCAGACUUGUAAUUUGCCAGAUUCUACGACAGAAUCACCAACAACAUCUCAAAUGGAUCCACUCAGCUUACAACAGUCUGGACACAAUUACUUACAACAAAUCACACCCUGUCAAUCAAAUGCUAUGCUGCAUCCACAUAAACAGGAUAGUGAUGUGUUAGAUUCAUUAAACUCUUUGAACGAUCGUGAAGUAGAGGAGUUUACAAAUCUUAUAUCUGAUGUAUCUGUGUCAGUAGUCGUUGACAGCACUCAACAGAGAGAGACAUUGAUAGAUUUACCACAAUACAUUGAAAGUGAACCACAACAACAACAAUAUACCGCUCCAAAUCUGACAGAACAGAUCAAUCUGAGUACAAUAUCACAACUCAUUCAACCAGACUUAGACAAGUCAGAAAAAGUACCAGAACAUGCAAUAGGUCAAGUUAAUGCUUGUAUUACAAGUAGUGAACCUGAUUUUUCAAGUUAUCCUCCACAUUGUAAAUGUGACUUUAUUGAUAAACUUGUUGCAGUAGAACAAAUUUGGUUGUGUAGAGGUCAGUUAUAUUUCCUUCCACAAAUUGCUAUUGUUGUCAUUGGUAACAGAGAGUUUGCUGGAAUAUUUCACAAUCAGAAAAAAGGAUACAUUGCCGUAGGUGAGAUCAUCGAAAAAAUGAUGCCUCAGUAUGAGUCUGACUUGAUAGGUUUUCUUAAGAGAAAGGAAGAUGUUGAACAGUGCACUAUGACAACACAGGAAAUUGGUUAUCUGCAGCAAAGGAAUUGUAUUGGUCCAACAUGUAGGUACUCGGUGGCUGUAUCAUUAAACACACUUCGUCAGAUGGCUCAGUUCAUUGUCAUGUAUGAAGGAGACAAACCAGGAUUUGACAACAAAAUAAAAGAGAUUGCUAAUGGUAACUAUUAUAAGAAAGUAUUACAAAGACAUGUGCGCUGUGGAAAUUGUGGAGGAAUAAUUCUUUAUAGCAAAGAACCAGAGGAGUAUGUAAAACUAAAUAAAGAAACCAAGAUCAAAGAAAAUGAGUCAAAAUGUUUUUCUGUUGGAUUUAUUAAAGUAGGAGGUUUUAGAUUUGUAGCAUUUAAAAUGGAUAAUAGAAUUUAUGUCUCUUUUAAAGAACUAUGUCAAAAUCAGGUGAUAAAGUUACAGGUACUUCAAGCUCGUCUUGGUGCUCUACGCCAACGACCUCGCCUUGCACCAAGUAUACUGAACAGUUAUUUAAAUACACCAGAUUACAGUGUUGCAAACACCAUGUGGAUUGACAUUGCUACCUUAAGAUGUGUAUGUUGUAUGGGAAAAUGCUCCCCUGGUUUCAAUUCAGAAUUAUAUACUUGCUUUGCUACAGUAAAUUUCAGUGAAGAUUUUGUGACAAAUAUCUUUGGUAGGGAUGAUCACCAAUCUGACAAUGAUGUAUAUACAAUGGAUCCUAAAACAUUUGAGGUUGUGAUGAAGAAAACGAGUAUGAAAACAAGUUCAGUUCGAUCUAAAACUCCAAAUUUAAGUAAAUCUAAACAAAAACCAACGUUAAAAUCAUUUGAACUGUCAACCAAACAAGUUGUUGGUUAUGAAACCCCUGAAAAGCUGAAUGAGUCUGCAUUUGUUUUUGAAAAACCUAUGGAAGAUUCUUUGUCUGAUCAUAACUUAUUUAGGGAGAAAAAAAGUAAAUCGAGUAAAACUCCAAAGACCAACAAGACAAACAAAGAUGAAGAAACAUACGUUUUUGAAGAUAAAAAAAGUGCAAUUAAUUUCUUAACAAAGAACAAUUAUUUGCAAGAGGAAACAAUUCCUGAAACUAAAUUGGAUUCAAAGAAGAAAAAUAUAAAAGAUGCUAAGUAUGUACCAGGAAAAACUCCAACUUUUAGAGUGAAACCAGCAGAAAAGCCAUAUAGUUUUGAUGGAAGUUUGAAAAAAGGCCAAAACAAAAAGUCUGACACUGAAAAUAUCAAAAUAACUGUGAAAGAUGAUCGUGUCAUGUUGACAGUUGCAACAAAGAAAACCCCUAAUAAUAAAAAAUCAAAAUCUAAGGCUUCAAGCAGGAGGCGAAAGAAAGAAAUAGAACUAGAAGAUUCUGAAAUAAUUUCAACUAAUACAACCAGCAUUGCAACUCCAGAACUAGAAGAUUCUGAAAUAAUUUCAACUAAUACAACCAGCAUUGCAACUCCUGAAAUAUGUGAUUCUGAUGAGACUCAGGAUGCUGUAGACAGUCUUGUAAACCAUUUUCAAUUAAGCCCUAAACGUCAAGGAAGAUCAAAUGUUGAGAUAGAAAACAUAGGAAUAACUCCAAGAACAGAAUCUCGUAUUUUAUCUGGCAUAGAUUUGGAUGGGAGUAUAAGUAAUAUGUUUGAAACACCAUCAUCACAGGGUAACGUUGUUGUAGAAAUGAUGGAUAAUAGUGACGAGCAUCCAUUAACAGGCAGCACUUCACCUCUCAGUAGAUUAUACCAACAGUUUGAAGAUUUUGAAAAAACUAAUUCACCCGAUAUUGUUUCUACAAAUCAAACUGACACAAUAUACAGAGAAAAUUCACAUAUUUCUAGCUCAGAAACCGAGUUAAGUUUGCAACUUAGAAAUGAGACAGAGAUGCCAAUCAAUCUAUCAGCCUCAAAGCAAGGUCAGAUUUUAUCAAAGGGAGAUAAUUCUGAAUGGCAGCAAGUGAGCGAUUUAAUAGGUGACAUUGAGGAGACUCAAAAAUACUCUGACACUACUAUUAAUAAAACAAUAUCAACUAUUCAUACCAUGCAUUCAACAGAAGCUCAAAAUAUUGAUCCCAUCCAGAAAUUUGAAUUGAGGGAAAAUGUUGGACACAGUACAUUACAAAACUUGUUCUCUGCUCAUAUAGAGGACAAAAAUUGUCAAAGUGACCAGUCUGAAGAAAGGGAGAAAAGAGCUAAAACAUUAAGUCCAACAAAACCCAAAAGUGGAUCGUGUCAGAAUUCUCCUAUUUCAAAACUCAAAAAGACAUCAUCAUCGAACUCGCCUGUAUUUAAGAAAUCGGGUGAAAUUGAUAUGAAUCAUGCCAAAGUUAAAAAGUUGUCUGAGUUGGGAGAUCAUCCUUUGGAUUUGUUAGCUUCCCUGGCUGAAGUGAUCACAGAUGAAACAGAAAAUGAACAAACAAUGGCAGGAAAUGAAGAUGCUGAUGUCUCCACUGAUCAGCAAUAUGAUGAGACUUUAAAAUAUGAAGAAGUUGAUCAAUCAAAAAUAGACAAAUCAAUUCCAGAGAAUGAGUUUACUUAUUUUGAUCCAGUACCAGAUUUGUAUGAAAGUAAAGAACAUAUUGAGUUGUGUACAUUUGCUGAUGAAAAUUCAAACAUUGACAAGGUAGCAUUUAGUACAAAAGCUGAGAAUACAUUUACAAGUAAAUUUUCUAAUGAAGAGAGCAGAGACAGGAUAUGUAAAUUUCUUGAUGAGGUAGAGAGUCACAUGACUAUUGAACCAUAUAAGGACACAAGUACAGGAUACUGGAAAGUCAGGAUAAGGUUAAAACCUGAUGCAAAGGGAGACAUAUCCAGGUAAUUAACAAUGUUAUAGCUGAAGGUCAGUCAGGGGUAAUACUUGUACAAGUAAAUUUGAUUUACUGGUACAGAUAACCAUUUUUGGAGGCAGAGUAUAUUUUUAUGCCCCACCUGCGAUAAUAGAGGGGCAUUAUGUUUUUCUGGUAUGUGUGUCCGUUCGUUCGUUUGUCUGUCUGUUCAUCCGUCUGUUCUUCCGUCCGUUCGUCCUGCUUCAGAUUAAAGUUUUUAGUCAAGGUAGUUUUUGAUGAAGUUGAAGUCCAAUCCACUUGAAACUUAGUAAACAAUAAAUUAACAUGUUCCCUAUGAUAUGAUAUUUCUAAUUUUAAUGCCAAAUUAUAGUUUUUUUCCCAAUUUCACGGUCCAUUGAACAUAGAAAAUGAUAAUGCGAGUGGGGCAUCCGUGUACUUGGGACACAUUCUUGUUUAGUUCUAUAAAUAUUUUAAAUUAUACAAAUAAGAAAUUUGUAUUUCUUCUAACGUGUUGCUUUAAAAAACUAUCGAAUUGUCUGUCCUAAUAGUAUUUCAAUAUUACUACAUCAUGUACAUAGAUUUACAUAUGCUUAAUGUACUUGAUCAUGUUGAAGAUUUAUAAGAUAUUCAUUUGUUACAUAAUUAAAUUUACCAUGACAGCAUGAAAACAGGCGUAAUCAAAUUAAAAGGAAAUAACACAAAUUUUCCAUAUAACAUGUAUAACAUAAAUUUUGCAAACUAUCAGAAAAAUUAUUAACUUGUACUACAACCUUCAAUGUUUCUUUGGUGAUAUUAUAUUGAUCAGCUCUCAGUUAUUAUUUGAAUUUGAAAUUUAACUGUCCAGAGUCUUGAGAAUAAUUAUUAGACUAUUAAAAGCUGUGUAUGAAAAUAAGAUGUGGUAUGUUUGCCAAUGUGACAACUGUUCGCAAGAGUUCAAAUGACACAGAAAUUAACAACUAUAGGUAACUGUACUGGUACUGUAUAUAUUUGUAUCUCGUGUCAUCUAAGGUUAGAUAUGUUACUAUCUGAUAUUUAUAUUAGUACAACAGUAACAAUAGAUCAAUGUAGACAGAUUUUUAUUAAACAAGAUUAUUUGUACUUAAACUAGACUUACAGGUUUUAAUGCAGGUUAUAAUGGUUUAUCAAGUUUAUAAAAGUUUUGUUUUGUUUUUUUUAGGUUUGUUUGGAAGUGAAACAGACAAGAAGAAGAGGAAUAUGAUUUUUGCAUUUCUAGGAAAACUUCAUCUACCUGAAAACAUUCCAAAUAGUGAAAGAAAUAGUGAACAAAUUGACAAGCUUUCUGAGCAAAGUAGCAAAUCAUUUAAAACAACUGAAACAUCACUCGGUCAUCCACAAUCCAAUUCCAAGACUAAAUUAAAAUCCUCAAGAUCUAACAAAGCUAAAAAAUCAAAACAUUCAAAAAAGUCUGGUAACAAAUCCAGUCACAAUUCCCAAAAGAAUAAUUUAGCAUUACAGUUGUUUGGUGCAGACAGAAGUGAUAUUAAUUCUCCAGACAAAAAGAAACAUCUAGAACAGUUUAUUCCUAGUGUAAACAAAGAAAGCUCUGGAAGAAACGAAGCAAUUACUAGUCCCAAUACUCAAAGUUCAAUGAAAAGAGCAAGGCAGUCGCCUUUAGAAUACAACAAAUCAAAGAAGCUGAAAUCUCACUGAUUAAAUAAUAUGGUAGGUUUACAUUAAGUUCAUCUCGAUAAAAGUUAUAUAGAAGAUGGGGUAUGAUUUCCAAUGAGACAACUCUUAAAUAAGAGAACAAUGACAGAGAAAUAUAACAAUUGAAGAGUCAGUAUAAAUAUUAUGUAUAAGGUCUUCCACAAUCAGCAAAACUCAUACCACAUACAAAGUCAGUAUAUGAAAGGCUCAGAAAUGACAAAUGUAAAGCAAUUCAAAAGAGAAAACUUAAUGGCCUGAUUUAUGUACAAAAUAAUGGAUUAAAACAAACAUGAUAUAUAUAACCAACAACAACCACUGAAUUACAGAUCACUGACUUAGGAUAGGCACAUACAGAUUGUUGCAGGGUUAGAUUAGUUUGAAGGCACCAACCUCCUUUCUAACCUGAGACAGUUGUGUAACUACAAUAUAAGAACAAGUCCUUAUUAUCCAUGUUAUCAAAGUGUAGAUUUUUUUAACCAGGUGAGUGAUCACAAGUUUGCCUCUUGUUCAGCUGUUGUGAUACUAUAUAUAUAUAUAUUGCAUUGUUUCAAAGCAGAGGUACAUACAGGGGGAAAUCUAGCUUCAGUACUUAUCAUAAUCACUAUAUUAUUCCUUUCUUUUUGCAGGGUUAAGAAAUAAAUAAGUUGAACUAUCUAGUCAGGGAAGUUUCUCCAUGUGAUAUAGCAGCAACAUUGAUGAUAUUUACAAUUUUCAAGAGGCAAAGCGUUGUAUGAAGGUUUAUAUAAUGCUGAGUAAACAAAUAAAGUAUCCCUAGAUACCUUGAUGACUGAUGCAACUAAGAUUGAUGUCAUGUGACAUUGAAAAAAAUCAGGGUAUCAUUUCACAAAGAUUUUAAUUAUUUUGUGUUAAUGUAUCAUAUGUUUGCUCUGAUAUUACACAAGUAUACGACUACUUAGGGAAACAGUGACUAGAUUUAAGACAUCUUGAUUGCCUCAGAAUGUUUUUUAUUAAUGGCAAUAAAUAUAUUGUAUCACUAUCUAUAACCAUGUAUUGACAAUCAAACAUAUCAGUUAUUAGUUCUCCUGUUUAUUUCUCUGUGUUCUGUUGAUUUUAUACAACAAAGGUGCUAUGUUUAAUUAUGUUAUAGUUUUGUUAACUUUUUUGUCCCGCCUGCUUUAGUAGGAGGCAUUAUGUUUUUUUGAAUCUGUUCGUUAGUUUACUCUGUAUGAUAGUCAAGUUUUUGGUUGAGACAAUUAGUAACAACAAAUUUUGUCAUAUAUAUUAACCUGAAAUUUAGUACACUUAUUCAUUAUGAUGUGAAAUUUAAAAAUUAUAUAUACCAAAUUAUAUUUUUGAAACAAAUUUCAUGGAUGACUAAACAAACAUAUUUGCAUUGGAAAUUUAUAGUACAUUCUCAGGUUAAAGUGAAGAUAGUGUUCCUCCUGCCCUAGCAGCAAGCUAAAUUGCAAUAAAAAAUCUGUGAGAUCAUCCAUCUAUUAAAGUAUGUUCCUGUUACCUGAAAGGUUGUAAACAAUUAACUUUAAUCAACUGCUUUUACCAAAAAUCUUGCCCUUGAUUUUAGAAAAAAUCAUGUUAACUACACUUUUCCUUUUAAAUUAAAAUCUAUUUUCAUUAACCUAAUUAUAUAUACAGUACUGUACAAGCUUGAUUUUGACAGUAUGAACGUUUUCUGUUCUUAGUAUACUGUAAGCAGGUGUACCAGUGAUCACUAUAUCACAAUAAUUCCAGUUUUUCAAAUGUUUUCCUAAUUCAAAGUAUUCUUGUUAAAUGUUGAAUUGAUUUAUAGUAUAAUUGUUCAAUAAAAGCAUUUAAUUGCAUUCUACAAUUAUGGUACAUGUGACGAAGUGUAAUAGUGUUAUUGAAAAAUUAAUUGCUGAUGUUCUUUUUGUAUUUAUAAGAUAUGCAUCAUACAUCACAAUAAUGAAGUCAACUUUGAGCUUUGUUAAAUGUUGAAACAGAAGAUAAAUAAAAGAAACUAUGAAAAAUAAUUAAGUAAUUUCUUUUCUUUUUUUGAAGAAUAAAUUAACGUUUGAUUUCUCCACAGAUAGGAUGAAAAAACAAAUUGUUAGUGGAAUUUUGUAAGAUAUUUUUUUUUUAAUUUAUGUAUGUGAAUUAG
RNAcentral lists this long non-coding RNA (16886 nucleotides) under Mytilus galloprovincialis (Mediterranean mussel). Lineage: Eukaryota; Metazoa; Mollusca; Bivalvia; Mytilida; Mytilidae. The record is from RNAcentral.